GGGUAUAUUGACGGUACUGCAGGAAUAAGCAUCGGCUAACUCCGUGCCAGCAGCCGCGGUAAUACGGAGGAUGCAAGCGUUAUCCGGAUUCAUUGGGUUUAAAGGGUGCGCAGGCUGUAAAGCAAGUCAGUGGUGAAAGCCCUGGGCUUAACUCAGGGAUUGCCAUUGAAACUGUUUUACUAGAGUGUAGUAGAGGACGGCGGAAUGAGUUGUGUAGCGGUGAAAUGCAUAGAUAUAACUCAGAACACCUAUUGCGUAGGCAGCUGUCUAUACUACAACUGACGCUGAGGCACGAAAGCGUGGGGAGCGAACAGGAUUAGAUACCCUGGUAGUCCACGCUGUAAACGAUGAUCACUCGUUGUUGGCUACUUAGUAGUCAGUGACCAAGGGAAACCGAUAAGUGAUCCACCUGGGGAGUACGUCGGCAACGAUGAAACUCAAAGGAAUUGACGGGGGCCCGCACAAGCGGAGGAACAUGUGGUUUAAUUCGAUGAUACGCGAGGAACCUUACCUGGGCUUAAAUGCUGGCUGCAUUGGAGGGAAACCUUCAUUUCCUACGGGACCGCCAGCAAGGUGCUGCAUGGUUGUCGUCAGCUCGUGCCGUGAGGUGUCGGGUUAAGUCCCAUAACGAGCGCAACCCCUAUCGCUAGUUGCCAGCAUGUAAUGGUGGGGACUCUAGCGAGACUGCCGGUGUAAACCGGAGGAAGGUGGGGAUGACGUCAAAUCAGCACGGCCCUUACGUCCAGGGCUACACACGUGUUACAAUGGCCGGUACAAAGAGCAGCCACCUGGCGACAGGGCGCUAAUCUCUAAAACCGGUCUCAGUUCGGAUCGAAGUCUGCAAUUCGACUUCGUGAAGGUGGAUUCGCUAGUAAUCGCGCAUCAGCCAUGGCGCGGUGAAUAAGUUCCCGGGCCUUGUACACACCGCCCGUCAAGCCAUGGAAGUCGGGGGUACCUGAAGUCCGUA
Molecule: ribosomal RNA, 967 nt
Filed under: uncultured organism
Description: bacterial SSU rRNA
Rfam family: Bacterial small subunit ribosomal RNA
Source: RNAcentral